GGCAAGAUGGCCGAGUGGUCUAAGGCGCUGUGUUCAGGCUCUCCUCGGAGAUACCUUGACAACCAAUUCGCAGUCUCCCUGAGGCGUGGGUUCGAAUCCCACUCUUGUCA
Non-coding RNA from Malassezia sp. CBS 17886, 110 nucleotides. NCBI's taxonomy places the organism in Eukaryota, Fungi, Basidiomycota, Malasseziomycetes, Malasseziales, Malasseziaceae. The record is from the annotation of a GenBank genome assembly.